AAAGAAAUAAAAGACCUGGACUG
RNAcentral lists this non-coding RNA (23 nucleotides) under Cricetulus griseus (Chinese hamster). Lineage: Eukaryota; Metazoa; Chordata; Mammalia; Rodentia; Cricetidae. The record is from RNAcentral.